Molecule: ribosomal RNA, 467 nt
Filed under: uncultured bacterium
Lineage: Bacteria
Description: partial 16S ribosomal RNA
Rfam family: Bacterial small subunit ribosomal RNA
Source: RNAcentral
ACGCACGCUGGCGGCGUGCUUAACACAUGCCAGUCGAACGGAAAGGCCCUGCUUUUGUGGGGUGCUCGAGUGGCGAACGGGUGAGUAACACGUGAGUAACCUGCCCUUGACUUUGGGAUAACUUCAGGAAACUGGGGCUAAUACCGGAUAGGAGCUCCUGCUGGAUGGUGGGGGUUGGAAAGUUUCGGCGGUUGGGGAUGGACUCGCGGCUUAUCAGCUUGUUGGUGGGGUAGUGGCUUACCAAGGCUUUGACGGGUAGCCGGCCUGAGAGGGUGACCGGCCACAUUGGGACUGAGAUACGGCCCAGACUCCUACGGGAGGCAGCAGUGGGGAAUAUUGCACAAUGGGCGGAAGCCUGAUGCAGCAACGCCGCGUGCGGGAUGACGGCCUUCGGGUUGUAAACCGCUUUCGCCUGUGACGAAGCGUGAGUGACGGUAAUGGGUAAGGAAGCACCGGCUAACUACGUG